UUGAACUCAAUACAGUUUUCAGGUAAAUAGAUUUAUAUAAAAAUUCAUUUAUUAUAAAGAAAUUUAUAAUAUUUAUUUAUAUUUAGUAUAAUCAAAGUAAUAAAUCAAUUAUAUUAACUAUUUUUAGUGCCAGCAGUUGCGGUUAAACUAGUAAUAAAAAUUUACUAAAUUAUUUAUUUUUACUUUUAUAUUAAUAAACAAAUUAUUAAGUGAAAUUUUAUUUUGUUUAAAAAUACUUUACUUAUUUUUAAAAAAAUUUACAAUUUUAAAAAAGGAUUAGAUACCCUUAUAUAUUCUAAAUAUUUUCUGGGUAGUAACACUUUAGAAAAACCUAUGUACUUUGGCGGCAUUUAAUCAUUAUAGAGGAACCUGUUUUUUAAUCGAUAAUACACGAUACAUCUAACUUUUUUUAAAAUUUUAUAUACCUCCAUCUUAAGGAUUAAUAAUAAUAUUCUCCCUAAAUUAAAUUUUAAAUAAGUUAGGUAAAGGUGUAGACUAUAAAAAUGAACUUAAUGGGUUACUUUAAAUAAAAUUUAUGGAAUAUUACUUAAAAUUUUUAUAAAAAAGGAUUUAUUAGUAAUAAUAAAACAUUAUUUUACAAUGAAAAUGAUAAAAAAUGUGCACAUAUCGCCCGUCACCCUUAUCUAAAGAUAAGGUAAGUCGUAACACAGUUGAUAUUUUGGAAAAAGUAUC
This 693-nucleotide non-coding RNA is filed under the name Araneus angulatus. The record is from RNAcentral. Lineage: Eukaryota; Metazoa; Arthropoda; Arachnida; Araneae; Araneidae.